UACGUGGGGUGCGAGCGUUAAUCGGAAUUACUGGGCGUAAAGCGUGCGCAGGCGGUUUUUUAAGCCAGAUGUGAAAUCCCCGGGCUCAACCUGGGAACUGCAUUUGGAACUGGAAGACUAGAGUAUAGCAGAGGGGGGUAGAAUUCCACGUGUAGCAGUGAAAUGCGUAGAUAUGUGGAGGAAUACCAAUGGCGAAGGCAGCCCCCUGGGUUAAUACUGACGCUCAUGCACGAAAGCGUGGGGAGCAAACAGGGAUUAGAUACCCUGGUAGUCCACGCCCUAAACGAUGUCAACUAGGUGUUGGGGGAGGAGACUUCCUUAGUACCGCAGCUAACGCGUGAAGUUGACCGCCUGGGGAGUACGGUCGCAAGAUUAAAACUC
Molecule: ribosomal RNA, 381 nt
Filed under: uncultured bacterium
Lineage: Bacteria
Description: bacterial SSU rRNA
Rfam family: Bacterial small subunit ribosomal RNA
Source: RNAcentral